Molecule: ribosomal RNA, 440 nt
Filed under: uncultured bacterium
Lineage: Bacteria
Description: bacterial SSU rRNA
Rfam family: Bacterial small subunit ribosomal RNA
Source: RNAcentral
AACGAACGCUGGCGGCGUGGAUAAGACAUGCAAGUCGAACGCUGACUUCAGGGUAGCAAUAUUCUGGAGUCGGAGUGGCGCAAGGGUGCGUAACACGUGGGUAAUUUGCCGCGAAGUCUGGGAUAACUUGCUGAAAGGCGAGCUAAUACCGGAUGGGGUUGGGUGGUGGCAUCAUCGGCCAACCAAAGUUGGGGACCCGCAAGGGCCUGACGCUUCGCGAUAAGCCCGCGGCCAUCAGCUAGUUGGUGAGGUAACGGCUCACCAAGGCUAAGACGGGUAGCUGGUCUGAGAGGACGACCAGCCACACUGGAACUGAGAGACGGUCCAGACACCUACGGGUGGCAGCAGUCGAGAAUUUUCACAAUGGGCGCAAGCCUGAUGGAGCGACGCCGCGUGGGGGAUGAAGGGCUUCGGCUCGUAAACCCCUGUCAUUUGCGAAC